RNAcentral lists this ribosomal RNA (301 nucleotides) under uncultured bacterium. RNAcentral's name for it is "partial 16S ribosomal RNA". It matches the Rfam family "Bacterial small subunit ribosomal RNA", at positions 509 to 807 of the family's 1533-position model. The record is from RNAcentral.
CAGUAGCCACGGUAAAACGUAGGGUGCAAGCGUUAAUCGGAAUUACUGGGCGUAAAGCGUGCGCAGGCGGUUUGUUAAGACAGAUGUGAAAUCCCCGGGCUCAACCUGGGAACUGCAUUUGUGACUGGCAAGCUAGAGUGUGGCAGAGGGGGGUGGAAUUCCGCGUGUAGCAGUGAAAUGCGUAGAUAUGCGGAGGAACACCGAUGGCGAAGGCAGCCCCCUGGGCCAACACUGACGCUCAUGCACGAAAGCGUGGGGAGCAAACAGGAUUAGAUACCCGCGUAGUCCCUGUCUCUUAUAC